CCUACGGGAGGCAGCAGUGAGGAAUAUUGGUCAAUGGACGGAAGUCUGAACCAGCCAUGCCGCGUGCAGGAAGACGGCUCUAUGAGUUGUAAACUGCUUUUGUACAAGGGAAGAAGAAAGUGACGGUACCUUAGGAAUAAGCCUCGGCUAACUACGUGCCAGCAGCCGCGGUAAUACGUAGGAGGCAAGCGUUAUCCGGAAUGACUGGGCGUAAAGGGUGCGUAGGUGGUUUGAUAAGUUGGUAGCGUAACUCCGAGGCUCAACCUCGGCACUACUACCAAAACUGUCGGACUUGAGUGCAGGAGGGGCAACUGGAAUUCCUAGUGUAGCGGUGGAAUGCGUAGAUAUUAGGAGGAACACCAGUGGCGAAGGCGAGUUGCUGGACUGUAACUGACACUGAGGCACGAAAGCGUGGGGAGCAAACAGGAUUAGAUACCCUAGUAGUC
This 446-nucleotide ribosomal RNA is filed under the name uncultured bacterium. RNAcentral's name for it is "partial 16S ribosomal RNA". It matches the Rfam family "Bacterial small subunit ribosomal RNA", at positions 338 to 795 of the family's 1533-position model. The record is from RNAcentral.